RNAcentral lists this unclassified non-coding RNA (345 nucleotides) under uncultured fungus. RNAcentral's name for it is "partial contains ITS1, 5.8S rRNA and ITS2". Lineage: Eukaryota; Fungi. The record is from RNAcentral.
AACGCAACUUGCGCUUCUGGGUAUCCCUGGAAGCAUGCCUCUUUGAGUAUCGUUUCAACCAAUCUCGCACUGCGUCCUUUCAUUAGGACAACGUAGCGGAAAAUGGGUCGUCUCGCAGUAAUGCGAGUCACUUUAAAUACAGCGAAAGCUAGUGUCGACAUGUAGAUGGGGGGCAACCUUCACCUCAGUUGAUGUCUGAUAAUAGAGACCUUGACGGGUCCCUUUCCUAUCGCAUUGACUUUGAGUGGUUGACAGUAAUAGUGAUCGAAAACAAGGAAAUUUAAUAUAUUUAUAUAUAUUUUUGAACUUGAUCUCAGAUGAAGCAAGAGAACCCGCCGAAUUUAA